AUCUCAAAGUGCUUUACAAACACUAAUGAAUUAAUCCUCACAACACCCCAGUGAGAACAAAAUCCAGUCUCAUAGCAGAGGAGAAUAUAAUGUUUACAGCACCUUCCAGAGCCAUGAACCAGAGUUUGACUACUUGAAAAGUUUAGAAAUAGAAGAAAAGAUCAACAAAAUUAGGUGGUUACCCCAGAAAAAUGCUGCUCAGUUUUUAUUGUCUACCAAUGGCUGGAUUUAGUGACUCACUUCCAAAGAACAGAAUAUGGCAAGGGUGAAAGAGUCAUUGUAUAGUGGAGAAGCCUGGCAAACAUUGUCUUAACCAAAUGACCCAAGUUAACACCACCAGCUAUAAAACAAUAAAAUUAUGGAAAAUCAGUGAAAGGGACAAAAGACCAGAAGGGUAUAACUUGAAAGA
RNAcentral lists this small RNA (409 nucleotides) under Pan troglodytes (chimpanzee). RNAcentral describes it as "processed transcript". Lineage: Eukaryota; Metazoa; Chordata; Mammalia; Primates; Hominidae. The record is from RNAcentral.